This 506-nucleotide ribosomal RNA is filed under the name uncultured bacterium. RNAcentral describes it as "bacterial SSU rRNA". It matches the Rfam family "Bacterial small subunit ribosomal RNA", at positions 121 to 622 of the family's 1533-position model. The record is from RNAcentral.
GGAACGUACCCGGGAGUGGGGGAUAACUAUCCGAAAGGAUAGCUAAUACCGCAUAUUCUGUGCGCAGGAAAGCAGGGGAUCUUCGGACCUUGUGCUCCCGGAGCGGCCGAUGUCAGAUUAGCUAGUUGGUGGGGUAAAGGCCUACCAAGGCGACGAUCUGUAGCGGGUCUGAGAGGAUGAUCCGCCACACUGGAACUGAGACACGGUCCAGACUCCUACGGGAGGCAGCAGUGGGGAAUUUUGGACAAUGGGCGCAAGCCUGAUCCAGCCAUGCCGCGUGAGUGAAGAAGGCCUUCGGGUUGUAAAGCUCUUUCGCGAGGGAAGAAAACGGCAAGGUUAAUACCUUUGUCGGAUGACGGUACCUUGAUAAGAAGCACCGGCUAACUACGUGCCAGCAGCCGCGGUAAUACGUAGGGUGCGAGCGUUAAUCGGAAUUACUGGGCGUAAAGCGUGCGCAGGCGGUUUUGUAAGACAGAUGUGAAAUCCCCGGGCUUAACCUGGGAACU